RNAcentral lists this ribosomal RNA (63 nucleotides) under uncultured bacterium. RNAcentral describes it as "partial 16S ribosomal RNA". The record is from RNAcentral.
GCGACGCGUAACCCGCAAGGGGAGGACCAGACGGGGCCCAAGGUAUGAUUCAUGAUUGGGGUG